Penaeus vannamei (Pacific white shrimp) is the source of this 325-nucleotide non-coding RNA. NCBI's taxonomy places the organism in Eukaryota, Metazoa, Arthropoda, Malacostraca, Decapoda, Penaeidae. The record is from RefSeq and is a predicted model, not a curated record.
CUACGCCGUGCAAGCCGACAACGGCAUCAACACAGCCGUUGAAGGAGUUGUUGGAUCUGCCGGUCAGAUAAAUCAGCAGGGAUCUUACACCUAUACCCUUGAAGACGGUACCCAGGCUGUUGUCACCUACAUCGCCAACGAGAACGGCUUCCAGCCCCAGUCCAGCAUCCUGCCCACUCCCCACCCUCUUCCCGCCCACGUCUUUGAGCUGCUGGAAAUCGCUGAGCGUCAGCGCGCUGCUGGCAUCGUGUUCAACUAAGAAAAUAAGAAAAUUCUAUUUAUGGGAGUGAUAUGGAUGUUGAUGCAAUAAAGUUUACGAUUGAAA